Oncorhynchus keta (chum salmon) is the source of this 920-nucleotide long non-coding RNA. RefSeq lists it as uncharacterized. NCBI's taxonomy places the organism in Eukaryota, Metazoa, Chordata, Actinopteri, Salmoniformes, Salmonidae. The transcript is spliced from 6 exons. The record is from RefSeq and is a predicted model, not a curated record.
CAAACCCAUAUUAGUUCAAACACACAUUGGUUAAAACCCUGUGGGUCAAACCCAUAUUAGUUCAAACACACAUUGGUUAAGACCCCACAGUUACAAACUGUUCUACUUGUGCAAAUAAACUAAACCCAGUCCAAGGUAGGGCUGUAACGUUACACGAGCUCCAAUCACAACCUGCUGAAAUCCUACAACAACACAGCUGAACAGAGGUCAACAACACAGCUGAACAGAGGUCAACAACACAGCUGAACAGAGGUCAACAACACAGCUGAACAGAGGUCAACAACACAGCUGAACAGAGGUCAACAACACAGCUGGACAGAGGUCAACAACACAGCUGAACAGAGGUCAACAACACAGCUGAACAGAGGUCAACAACACAGCUGAACAGAGGUCAACAACACAGCUGAACAGAGGUCAACAACACAGCUGAACAGAGGUCAACAACACAGCUGAACAGAGGUCAACAACACAGCUGAACAGAGGUCAACAACACAGCUGAACAGAGGUCAACAACACAGCUGAACAGAGGUCAACAACACAGCUGAACAGAGGUCAACAACACAGCUGGACAGAGGUCAACAACACAGCUGGACAGAGGUCAACAACACAGCUGGACAGAGGUCAACAACACAGCUGAACAGAGGUCAACAACACAGCUGGACAGAGGUCAACAACACAGCUGAACAGAGGUCAACAACACAGCUGAACAGAGGUCAACAACACAGCUGAACAGAGGUCAACAACACAGCUGAACAGAGGUCAACAACACAGCUGAACAGAGGUCAACAACACAGCUGAACAGAGGUCAACAACACGACUUCUGAGGGGAGGGUAAAACACUGGACGGCACCACUUUCAAGGCUCUCCUAAAUGUCAAGGCCUUCAGAGGAAACUGUUCUGUAAUCAGUCCAUCAGCACGA